RNAcentral lists this non-coding RNA (169 nucleotides) under human gut metagenome. Its description in RNAcentral is "Lysine riboswitch". It matches the Rfam family "Lysine riboswitch aptamer". From Rfam's summary of the family: Riboswitches are metabolite binding domains within certain messenger RNAs that serve as precision sensors for their corresponding targets. Allosteric rearrangement of mRNA structure is mediated by ligand binding, and this results in modulation of gene expression. The record is from RNAcentral.
UAAGAUAGAGGCGCGUCUAUUUGAUCAGUAACAGGGCGGAGGCUGCCAAAGCCGUUGAUCCUUUGUGAAAGGCAUAGUCGCCGAAGGGGAUGGUCUGGCAAACGUCCGCCUGGUUGCAUAGGUGAAUAACCGUGUGACUGUCAUCAUAAGAUUAUGAUGGAGGGCUAUC